This 427-nucleotide ribosomal RNA is filed under the name uncultured bacterium. RNAcentral describes it as "partial 16S ribosomal RNA". It matches the Rfam family "Bacterial small subunit ribosomal RNA", at positions 354 to 796 of the family's 1533-position model. The record is from RNAcentral.
GUGGGGAAUAUUGGGCAAUGGGGGAAACCCUGACCCAGCGACGCCGCGUGAGGGAAGACGGCCUUCGGGUUGUAAACCUCUUUUGUACGGGAAGAAGGAAGUGACGGUACUGUACGAAUAAGUCCCGGCUAACUACGUGCCAGCAGCCGCGGUAAUACGUAGGGGACGAGCGUUGUCCGGAAUUACUGGGCGUAAAGGGCGCGCAGGCUGUGCUGCAAGUCAGCUGUGGAAUGUCUGGGCUUAACCCGGGCAUGCGGUUGAGACUGCAGUGCUGGAGUGCUGUAGAGGCAAGUGGAAUUCCCAGUGUAGCGGUGAAAUGCGUAGAUAUUGGGAAGAACACCGGUGGCGAAGGCGACUUGCUGGGCAGCAACUGACGCUGAGGCGCGAAAGCCAGGGGAGCAAACGGGAUUAGAAACCCUGGUAGUCC